UCAACUGUCUAAUCUAUAUUAAGUAAUUGUUUAUACUAGGAUGGUUGUUGUAAAAUAUGUGGUGGCGUGACACAUUUGGCAAGGGAUGUCCCGAAAAAGGGAAGAAAACUCUUUUUGCUGCUAAUGGGCCUGUUGAUGGAUUUGUAUAAGAAAAUGACGUUCUUCAUCACUGAAUUCCUCUAGCAGACAUAAUUGGGCUUUCUUCAACAGGAUUUGCCAGGUAUUUGAAUGAGUUCUCUUCAGCUUAUGAAGUCUUUAUUUUACAAGUUCUCAGAUUUACUCCAUGUUUAAUCUGGUCACCAUCAUUUUCUAUAUUAAUUUUGAGAUAAACAGAAAUGUAUGUGCCAUAGCCCAUGGGACAUAUGGCCUAUGCAUUGGUAAUUGGGAGGAGGGGGUUCAAAGUGUGUGUAUCACAAAAUUAUACUUUUUCAUUUAAAAAACAAUGAUUGAAUUUUUAUGAACAUGCUUAAUUGUUGCUGGAUUUAUGAACAUGAAGAAACAACUUCCCUCGAAAGGAUGUGUUUAAAAUCCAAAUCCUAACAAGUCACAUUACAAAACCACAAUUGAUUAUUACAAGUUUUACAUCUAAAAUAUAGUCUCUAUAUAAUUUACAAGUUCAAGACAACCUUGAUGUUCUUGUCGGUGACAGAAGCUUUCUUGGGCUUGGCAUUGUUGAGGCAUUUGGAUUUUGGUAUUUGAAUAUUCAAAUUUUCAGUAGAAAAAUUGGUAAGUUCACCCCCCAACACAACGCGCUUCCUCUUGAGGGGUUGAUUCUCAGUGAGGUUUGCGGUCAUGGCCCUCCUCUUUGCGGCGGCACGAGUUUCCAUCUCUGAAGGUGGCUCUCUUUGAAGAAAGGGGACAGAGAAAAAGAGAGGGCAAUAAGAAUGAGUAAAGAAGAGAGGAAGAGGGUGCCAAGUUUGAAGGGAGGGAUAUUGAAAGAGACAAUUGGGAUUUACAGUAUAAUAAGGAUGAAGCAUGAAGAGUGCCAUUUGAUUUGAGUAAAACUUUCAAAACAGAGAAAGAUAGAGAAGAUUAAUGAAAAUGAAAAGGGGGAUUGAGAAUUGAGAGUGCCGCUGUUGGUAAAAAAUGAAAAUGGGUUGAGGAAAUUUCUGCACAUUCAUCAAUGAAGUCUAUGGAGUAGUUUUCAUUUUGAAUAUCUUAAAUUAUGUUCAUUAAAACUUUACUCUAUGUUUUCUGCAUUACAAAUUGACUACCGCAGUGUGCAGGUGCCAAGCUAUCCUGUUCAACGCAUGGUUUUCGACGAAAUUCACGGCUAUUCUUUGACUUCAAUAAAUCCCUUCCUCGAUGAUUCUAGCCCAAAGGAUCAUGCUUUUGUUGAUGAAUUCAGCUGCAUAGCAAAGAUUCCAAUUAUCUUGUAUUUGUCAAAGAAGAAU
Arachis duranensis is the source of this 1394-nucleotide long non-coding RNA. RefSeq lists it as uncharacterized. The transcript is spliced from 3 exons. The record is from RefSeq and is a predicted model, not a curated record. Lineage: Eukaryota; Viridiplantae; Streptophyta; Magnoliopsida; Fabales; Fabaceae.